Molecule: ribosomal RNA, 301 nt
Filed under: uncultured bacterium
Lineage: Bacteria
Description: partial 16S ribosomal RNA
Rfam family: Bacterial small subunit ribosomal RNA
Source: RNAcentral
CAGUCGCCGCGGUAAUACGGAGGGGGCUAGCGUUGUUCGGAAUUACUGGGCGUAAAGCGCACGUAGGCGGCUUGGUAAGUUAGAGGUGAAAGCCUGGAGCUCAACUCCAGAAUUGCCUUUAAGACUGCCGAGCUAGCAGGUGAGAGAGGUAAGUGGAAUUCCGAGUGUAGAGGUGAAAUUCGUAGAUAUUCGGAAGAACACCAGUGGCGAAGGCGGCUUACUGGCUCAUACUGGACGCUGAGGUGCGAAAGCGUGGGGAGCAGACAGGAUUAGAUACCCCCGUAGUCCCUGUCUCUUAUAC